RNAcentral lists this ribosomal RNA (482 nucleotides) under uncultured Cortinariaceae. RNAcentral's name for it is "eukaryotic LSU rRNA". The stretch from base 337 to 482 matches the Rfam family "Eukaryotic large subunit ribosomal RNA", at positions 1 to 143 of the family's 3401-position model. The record is from RNAcentral. Lineage: Eukaryota; Fungi; Basidiomycota; Agaricomycetes; Agaricales; Cortinariaceae.
GGUCAUUUAGAGGAAGUAAAAGUCGUAACAAGGUUUCCGUAGGUGAACCUGCGGAAGGAUCAUUAUUGAAAUAAACCUGAUGGGUUGUUGCUGGUUCUCUAGAGAGCAUGUGCACACCUUGUCAUCUUUAUAUCUCCACCUGUGCACUUUUUGUAGACCUUCCAGGUCUAUGUUGCUUCAUAUACCCCAAUGUAUGUUUAAUAGAAUGUUGUGCAUAUGAUGCAUAUAUAUAUACACAUGAAACCUUGUUCAUUGGUGUGAUAACCUAUCUACGCUAUUGAACGCAAGGGUGCAGUUCAGCUUUCCAAUGGUCUUUGGACAAGUUCAUCAUUAAUGUGACCUCAAAUCAGGUAGGACUACCCGCUGAACUUAAGCAUAUCAAUAAGCGGAGGAAAAGAAACUAACAAGGAUUCCCCUAGUAACUGCGAGUGAAGCGGGAAAAGCUCAAAUUUAAAAUCUGGCAGUCUUUUGGCUGUCCGAGU